AGAAUUUCAUUUCAGAUUGAGGCGUAUUUGUCCAGACUGGUUUGUCUGUAUGGCCUAAUUCGCUGAAAUGCCUAUGAUGCCCUAAACGGAACUGCAAGUUAUUAAUUGUUAAUGUAACAUUCUAUGAUUGUUUUUCAAUGUUUCAAACGCGUUAACUGUAUAGUGAUAUUGAAUAGUAAAGGCGGGUUAAAAGUCGACUUGUGCGUAUUUUAUGCCAUUUUCACCGGGCGUGAAGGGUUUCAGGAACUGAUAAGUUACCUGGCAGUCAAAAAAUCUGGAUUUACGAAAUGAGCUCUUAGCUCGUAGUCAAAGAACUUGUUUUUUUAGUCGAAGAAAAUGCUGUUUAGCUGUCAUAGGAAUAUCAACUGGCGCAUUAUAUUCUUUUGCAAGCAAUUUUGACUUGGGUGGGGGAUGGUCUUUUUGCAAGACUAGGUUAUUCCCUAGUAUCUCAACCUCUGUUAAAAUACAAUAAUCAAGUUCAGUGAAAUUAUUAUUUAGUCACACUCGCAGCUCCCAUCAACCAAGGUUUUUUCUUGAAUUCAUAUUUCUGCACCCAAAGCAGGUUGCAGGAUCGCUUUUACCACUGUCUCCACUAGAUUUCGUUUGUCUUUUGGCUAUUGCUUCAACCCCUCCCCCCCCCCCACCCCCAUGUUCAAUUUUAUUUGUAAUUAUAAAAAUAAAAACUUUGAAGAAACGGUAUCAGUUUUCAAACAAAGUCGUCUCCUUUUUUCACAAGCUUAGAGGUUCUUUCAAUGUUUCAAAAGCAUACUGGUUCGUGGCAAAAAAAGCAAGAUAUCAUGGCAUGAAAAUAAAUUUUAUGUGGAUAUUAGCGUCUUAGCAGACAUGUAGCUAGGAUUCUCUAGCUUCUAUAUACUUAUAAAUGAAAUGCCUGACAAUUUUUUGUCUUUUCAUCGUGGAUUAUUUUCAAUAAAACACGAAACUUAAUUUGUACUUUCAUCGUUACAAACUUCAUUUGUACUUUCAAUAAAAAUCUACACUACAAGCACAAACAAUACAAAAAAUUGGUCCCAGAAUAAAAUUAGUGUGGGAAAUCUUAAUCUCAGCUCAAAUUGUUGUAAGAUAAGGGUGGUGUCCAAAAGGAGCCCAUAACUUGAAUUGCUCUUACUGCCUGUUCCUGGGGUGUUCAGUCUUUUAAAAACGAUGGUUUCCACCCAUAAAUGAACAAGAACUGGAGAGAAGUUAAAACCUUUCAAUACACUUCUUGUAACUCAACAAGCACCAAGGAGCACACUUAAUAUAGAGAACUGCCAAAAGACUGGUUGACUACAGCCUGUCAGACUUAAAGCUGACAAGUGGCAAAACAUGCUGCACAUAGUUUAAGAAGGGUGCUUGUUGAAAACGUUCAAGAAUAAAUCAAAUUUGAAAACUAUUGUUUAUUAUGAGCAAAACGGUGUGGUUAAUAUAAAAUUGAGGACAAAACUGUUAGCAACUUUUUCAAGAAUAAAGCAACAUGUAGUAUUUUAAACUUUAACAAUUUUCAAAGAGAUUUGCUUUCCUUAAUUAAGGUUUUAACUUUAUGUAAUUUUAUUGUUUCAUUAGAACAAGGCAAGCUGUAGAACAUAAUUUUGACAAAAACAAACAUUUGAGUGUGUGAUUAAUCUUGUUCUUUGGAGUUGCAGGCACAUGUGAUUUUGCAAGCACAUGGUUGCAUGCCAUUCACAGCGUACUAUGACCCCCUUAUGGUUUUUCAAAGCUUGACAUAACCCUUAAGUAUCAAAGCUUUCUACAUCAUUGAAUGUUAAAUAAAAACAAGUUAUUUUGGAAUGAAGAAAAAGGGGUGAAAAAAUUCAUGAUAGACAUUUUAUCAGAAGAUGGGAACAUUUCCUUGAACAAUUUCAAACCCCCGGUGAAAAAUCUUGCAGGAUCCUACAGGAUCCUGUGGGAUCCUAAGAGGAUCCUAGAUUUUUAGGAUCCUGGACAAGAUCCUACCAAAAAUCCUGCAAGAUCCUGUGUGCAUAGGAUCUGAUGCAAGAUCCUACAUAAGGAUCCUGUAAGACAAACACAACUUAAGAUCUUACACAGGAUCCUACCAAAAAUCUUACAGGAUUUUAAAACAGGAUCUUGAAUGGGAUUUUGCUAGGAUCCAGAAUGACAUUGUAAGAUCUUACAAGAACUAGAUUAGGAUCUUAAAUUAGGAUACUAGAUUAGGAGAUUAAGACAAUUCCAAGAUCCUAUUGGAUUGUGACAUGGAUCCUGUCAGGAUCUUGAAUAUAAAGAUAGGAUCCUGUACAAAGUCAAACAGGAUCCUGUUACAUUCUGACCAGGAUCCUUCCAGCAUCUUCAAUCCUAAAUGUUUAGGAUCCUAUACAAGAUCUUACAUAAGGAUCCUGUAGGAGAUAAACAACUGAAGAUCUUACACAGGAUCCUACCAAAAAUCUUACAGAAUUCUAAAACAGGAUCUUGAAUAGGAUCUUGCUAGGAUCCAUAGUGACAUUGCAGGAUCUUAAAAGAACUAGAUUAGGAUCUUACACAUAACGAUUCCAAGAUCCUAUUUGAUUGUGACAUGGAUCCUGCCAGGAUCUUGAAUAUAACGAUAGGAUCCUGUAGAAUCUUAAAGAGGAUCCUGUUACAUUCUGACCAGGAUCCUACCAACAUCUUGAAUCCUAAGCGGUGGUGUAGUGGUAUCAAAAUAACAAGGGGGGCUCUUGCACAAAAAGUUGCAAAAAACAAUAGAAAAAUAUAAAUUUGCCAUGUUUUUGGCAUUAACAAGGGGGCUCAGCCCCUAGCACUACACCCCUGAUCCUAAGUGUAUAUCAAUCGAUUUCGUGGAAUUUUGAUGCAGCAAAGCGCAAGAAAAACAAAAUAUAUGAUCACAUCAAUCUCUGAUGUAUAUAAAUACCACACCCUUUAGUUUAGCUUUUUCAAAUACAUUUCAGAAUUAUUUCUUCAUGUCACUUUCAUGUAUUGGCUUAAAUCGAUUAACUAUUUUUAGGCAUACUCUUUUUAAGUUGAAUUAAUUCCAUUUUUAAAAUGGAACUUAUUACUUUAUGUGGCCCCUUAGAUGCUAGACAUUGAUUCUCUGUUGCAGUUUGCCCCCUCUUCCCAGAGGCGUCGGCAUAGGGGGGUACGGUGUGGGUGUGGUAUCCCAACAAUUUGUUGGUCGGCACAGUAAGGAUUUUUGCUGGGCACUCGCUCUGCAACCUUUUUGCAACAUUUCUGUGUAGUUGAACUAUCAAAGUAUGGCACUAGAGUAUAAACUUUGAAACAGAAAGGAAUAAAAGCAGCAUGCAAGAGUAUUUAUCUUUUGACCACACCCUUAAAGAAUGAAACGCGCCCUUUUUUGUCGGCAAAAAUCGCCUCUUCAUCCCUCUAAACAAUUUUCUUGGCUACACUCCUGCCUCUUCCCCAACUCUUGGGGGCCCUGGGCAUGUUCAGGCUAUCAAUUUUCUUUUUAAGGUUCAAAAAGUUUGAAGUUUAUCUAAAAGGCAUAAAAUUCGUCCGCCAUAAUUAAAGCAUCAGUUUUAUAACGGAGCAGCUUUCCAUUUUAGCACUGCACAAAACCGUUUUGUCAUUGCACAAAUUGGUUAUCAUUGCACCCCAAAUUAGAUAUGCUGUCGGGUAAAUAUGGUUAUAGAAAACGAUGUUGAACUGGAAAGAAUAUUUUUCAAAUAACUUGUUUUCGACUUAUUCAAAAUCAGGGACUUUCAAGGGGUGAUCGUGCUGUAACCGGUGUUCUGGUAGGUACGGGGAUUCAUAAACUGCGAUAACCAUCGCUAAUGAAGUGAAUUGUCGCAUGCCUUUUUUACCAACCAAUCAGAGGACACUUGGCAGUCCAGCGGGUCACAUUUUGAACGAGACAAUCUGUUGGUGGAAAACAGAAGAAAGACUUGCAAAAUGCGACCCGCUGUAAAAUGCGACCAGAGAUGCAAAAUGCUGAACAUCUGUCAGGCGCUUUUUCCAAAAAGUCAAGAUUGAAAGCAAAAGAAUCGAGAAGAAUGGAUCCAGCCCAGCAGUUUACAAAAGAAAACAAACAAGUAAUGUUCUGUGGAGAUUUCAACCUUGGAUUGUCAAGGUGCUUUCAAUGCAGUUUAAAGAGAGUAAAAUACAGCAAAGCAGAGUGAGGUUAUAAACAGAACAAUUAAACAGAAAUGUCUUGACAAACUAGUAAAUUAAGCAUAGUUGAUGAAGAUGUAGUAUACAAAGAUUGUGACUUUAUCAAAUGUGAAUCACAUGAAACUUGAUUUGCUCUCUACAGAUCUACUUCUUGAACUCUUAUUUGGUAGAAGGUCCUACAAUAUCCUUUAUUAGGAUCCUGAACAGAUCAUAUACAGGAUCCUGAUUAGAUCAUAUACAGGAUCCUGAUUAGAUCAUAUACAGGAUCCUGAUAAGAUCAUAUAUAGGAUCCUGAACCAGGGGCGGACUGGCUGGUCGGGCUAUUCGGGCGAUCGCCCGAAGGGCCGGUCGGUUUGAGGGCCGGCUGAUAAAAGUGCAAAAAAAUAAAUUAGCUUAAAAAGUAUACCCACGCGUUGAUCUGUUUGCCUUGAAUUUUCAGAGACACUUGAAUUUGAAUUGUGGGAAAGAAUAAAUAUACAUGCAAGUACUCGAAAACCAUUAAAAUUAUGAAUUCAUUAAGCACAGACACACUUCUUCAGGAAACAUGUUAUUGUUAUAUUUUCUCUUGAUGGUAUUUUCUUAUUGGCGACAUACUAUACUGUAACACCCCUGUUUCAAGGCGAUACAUAAGAUUUUAACCUGCCUUGAUGUCUUCUUACUUAGCUUUUGCUUGAAGCUGGUCAUGUUUUUGCCUAAGCACAAGCUAUUGCUAAAUGUAAUAAAUUUAAAAGUUAUUAGAGUUCACUAAGCGAUUUGCUCUUUGAUUUGGAGCAAUAAAGAGGACAUACGUAGAACGAGGAAGAGCAAGAAGACUUCAAUCAAAGGUGGUGCAUAGAAAUUUCGCGAGGAAUAGCUGCGAGACUUAAAAAAAGGAUUCAGCUACGAUACAAAGCUUUUUUAUCAAGCAAAAGCCACAAACAUCACAAAAAACAGCAGGGUCUUGCUCUUGCUCCUUUCAAUAAACUAAAACAAGUUAUGGAAAGUUUAUUAGGCCCAACUAUCAUAAGUCAAAUGCACCCCCUGCCCAACAUUAUGGUAAGGUGCUACACGAUAAAAUUUCAACAGGGGUGCCCAUGUUUUCUUUUUGGGGUCAGAAAUUGACAAAUUGAUAUUUUUGGGUUGCUGAAAAUCAUUGUGGUUUUCCGGAGGAUUAGAAAAUUAUUUGUCACAAGUGGAGUGUGAUAGAAGCCUUUCCACUUUAAAUAAAUAAAGAACAGGUUACGUAGUAAUUUUUCGCAGCCAAACCUGGAGUCCUUCAUGUUAAUGUUCUUAGAAAAGCACCUGUUAAAUGACAUCCAGAACGAUAGCAUUAUCAACAUAUAAGUUCCUGUAUUUAGAAUCAGAGUCAAACCAAGAAGUUACAAUUUUUUUUAUUUACUGUUUAGUCAGCAUAUGACAUAUUUAACAUGUUCCGUUAACCAUAUUCUGUUAACCAGCAUUCAUCCAUAAACAAAAUUACUGAAUUUAAAAACUUGUUUUCAUUACAGACUAACAUUUACUUGUAUUUUCCGAGGAGUUUUUUAUUUGCUAUUAUUGUGGGCCGGUUUGAUCAAAAUUUGCC
This is a non-coding RNA of Rhopilema esculentum, 5635 nucleotides long. Lineage: Eukaryota; Metazoa; Cnidaria; Scyphozoa; Rhizostomeae; Rhizostomatidae. The record is from RefSeq and is a predicted model, not a curated record.